This 74-nucleotide transfer RNA is filed under the name Pseudomonadota bacterium. RNAcentral describes it as "tRNA-Ile". It matches the Rfam family "tRNA". From Rfam's summary of the family: Transfer RNA (tRNA) molecules are approximately 80 nucleotides in length. Their secondary structure includes four short double-helical elements and three loops (D, anti-codon, and T loops). Lineage: Bacteria; Pseudomonadati; Pseudomonadota. The record is from RNAcentral. RNAcentral also lists the same sequence under 2 other names.
AGGCCUGUAGCUCAGUUGGCUAGAGCGCACCCCUGAUAAGGGUGAGGUCGGCAGUUCGACCCUGCCCAGGCCUA